Molecule: unclassified non-coding RNA, 293 nt
Filed under: uncultured Microbacteriaceae bacterium
Lineage: Bacteria; Bacillati; Actinomycetota; Actinomycetes; Micrococcales; Microbacteriaceae
Description: contains 16S-23S intergenic spacer region
Source: RNAcentral
GGACUACAGGGGUUUCUAAUCCUGUUCGCUCCCCACGCUUUCGCUCCUCAGCGUCAGUUACGGCCCAGAGAUGUGCCUUCGCCAUUGGUGUUCCUCCUGAUAUCUGCGCAUUCCACCGCUACACCAGGAAUUCCCAUCUCCCCUACCGCACUCUAGUCUGCCCGUACCCACUGCAGGUCCAAGGUUGAGCCUUGGAUUUUCACAGCAGACGCGACAAACCGCCUACGAGCUCUUUACGCCCAAUAAUUCCGGACAACGCUUGCACCCUACGUAUUACCGCGGCUGCUGGCACC